RNAcentral lists this transfer RNA (67 nucleotides) under Marmota monax (woodchuck). Its description in RNAcentral is "tRNA.Val". The record is from RNAcentral. Lineage: Eukaryota; Metazoa; Chordata; Mammalia; Rodentia; Sciuridae.
GGUUGUGGCUUAGAGGUAGAGUGCUCGCCUAACAUGUGUGAGGGCCUUGGUUCAAAGCUCAGCACCA